GCAUCGGUGAUUCAGUGGUAGAAUGCUCGCCUGCCACGCGGGCGGCCCGGGUUCGAUUCCUGGCCCAUGCU
Molecule: transfer RNA, 71 nt
Filed under: Heliconius melpomene (postman butterfly)
Lineage: Eukaryota; Metazoa; Arthropoda; Insecta; Lepidoptera; Nymphalidae
Description: tRNA HMEL017458
Rfam family: tRNA
About the family: Transfer RNA (tRNA) molecules are approximately 80 nucleotides in length. Their secondary structure includes four short double-helical elements and three loops (D, anti-codon, and T loops).
Source: RNAcentral